RNAcentral lists this non-coding RNA (213 nucleotides) under Sinorhizobium saheli. Lineage: Bacteria; Pseudomonadati; Pseudomonadota; Alphaproteobacteria; Hyphomicrobiales; Rhizobiaceae. The record is from RNAcentral.
GACCAUAUGCGCCCGUCAGGUGCCCGCGCAUGCGGGAGAAUCGGGAAGCCGGUGCAAUUCCGGGACGUGCCCAACGCUGUGAUGGGGACGGUCGCGCCAGAGACAUGCUCUGAAUGAUUUCAGGGUAUUGCCACUGAAUCUUGAAGCGGUUCGGGAAGGCGGCGCGAGCGGAUGAUCCAAAGUCAGAAGACCGGCCUGGCGAGAUGGACCGCC